ACCUGCUUGGCUCAGUGGGUUGAGCGUCUGACUUUAGCUCAGGUCAUGAUCUCAUGGUUUGUGAGUUCAAGCCCCACAUCAGUGUU
Non-coding RNA from Felis catus (domestic cat), 86 nucleotides. The record is from Rfam. NCBI's taxonomy places the organism in Eukaryota, Metazoa, Chordata, Mammalia, Carnivora, Felidae.